RNAcentral lists this ribosomal RNA (497 nucleotides) under uncultured bacterium. RNAcentral describes it as "partial 16S ribosomal RNA". It matches the Rfam family "Bacterial small subunit ribosomal RNA", at positions 28 to 507 of the family's 1533-position model. The record is from RNAcentral.
GAUGAACGCUGGCGGCGUGCCUAAUACAUGCAAGUCGAGCGAACAGACGAGGAGCUUGCUCCUUUGACGUUAGCGGCGGACGGGUGAGUAACACGUAGGUAACCUACCUAUAAGACUGGGAUAACUUCGGGAAACCGGAGCUAAUACCGGAUAAUAUUUCGAACCGCAUGGUUCUAUAGUGAAAGAUGGCUUUGCUAUCACUUAUAGAUGGACCUGCGCCGUAUUAGCUAGUUGGUAAGGUAACGGCUUACCAAGGCAACGAUACGUAGCCGACCUGAGAGGGUGAUCGGCCACACUGGAACUGAGACACGGUCCAGACUCCUACGGGAGGCAGCAGUAGGGAAUCUUCCGCAAUGGGCGAAAGCCUGACGGAGCAACGCCGCGUGAGUGAUGAAGGUCUUCGGAUCGUAAAACUCUGUUAUUAGGGAAGAACAAACGUGUAAGUAACUGUGCACGUCUUGACGGUACCUAAUCAGAAAGCCACGGCUAACUACGUG